RNAcentral lists this ribosomal RNA (465 nucleotides) under uncultured bacterium. Its description in RNAcentral is "partial 16S ribosomal RNA". The stretch from base 54 to 465 matches the Rfam family "Bacterial small subunit ribosomal RNA", at positions 39 to 507 of the family's 1533-position model. The record is from RNAcentral.
GGGGGGGGGGGGGGGGGGGGGGGGGGGGGGGGGGGGGGGGGGGGGGGGGGUGGGUGGGGGGUGGUGGAGGGGGGACCGGGUGGGGAAGAGGGGGGUGAUCUGCCCGGCGCUGCGGGAUAAGGGUGGGAGACUGGGGCGAGUACCGGAGGGGAGCCAGUGUUAGGGUGAGGGUGGGAAAGUUUGUUCGGUGUAGGUUGGGCUCGCGGCCUCUCAGCUUGUUGGUGGGGUAAUGGCCUACCACGGCGGCGACGGGUAGCCGGCCUGAGAGGGUGGACGGCCACAUUGGGACUGAGAUACGGCCCAGACUCCUACGGGAGGCAGCAGGGGGGAAUAUUGCACAAUGGGCGCAAGCCUGAUGCAGCGACGCCGCGUGGGGGAUGACGGCCUUCGGGUUGUAAACUCCUUUCGCUAGGGACGAAGCUUUUUGUGACGGUACCUAGAGAAGAAGCACCGGCUAACUACGUG